This 359-nucleotide ribosomal RNA is filed under the name uncultured fungus. RNAcentral describes it as "LSU rRNA". It matches the Rfam family "Eukaryotic large subunit ribosomal RNA", at positions 320 to 667 of the family's 3401-position model. The record is from RNAcentral. Lineage: Eukaryota; Fungi.
AUAUUGGCGAGAGACCGAUAGCGAACAAGUACCGUGAGGGAAAGAUGAAAAGCACUUUGGAAAGAGAGUUAAACAGUACGUGAAAUUGUUGAAAGGGAAACGCUUGAAGUCAGUCGCGUCGUUCGAGGCUCAGCCUGGCUUCUGCCUGGUGUACUCCUCGUUUGACGGGCCAACAUCGAUUUUGGUCGGCAGAUAAAGGCGUGGGGAAUGUGGCACCUCCGGGUGUGUUAUAGCCCCUCGUCGCAUGUGUCGUCCGGGAUCGAGGACCGCAGCACGCCUUCAUGGCCGGGGUUCGCCCACGUAACGUGCUUAGGAUGUUGGCUUAAUGGCUUUAAGCGACCCGUCUUGAAACACGGACC